AGUUUGAUCCUGGCUCAGGAUGAACGCUAGCUACAGGCUUAACACAUGCAAGUCGAGGGGAAACGACAUCGAAAGCUUGCUUUUGAUGGGCGUCGACCGGCGCACGGGUGAGUAACGCGUAUCCAACCUGCCCACCACUUGGGGAUAACCUUGCGAAAGUAAGACUAAUACCCAAUGACGUCUCUAGAAGACAUCUGAAAGAGAUUAAAGAUUUAUCGGUGAUGGAUGGGGAUGCGUCUGAUUAGCUUGUUGGCGGGGUAACGGCCCACCAAGGCGACGAUCAGUAGGGGUUCUGAGAGGAAGGUCCCCCACAUUGGAACUGAGACACGGUCCAAACUCCUACGGGAGGCAGCAGUGAGGAAUAUUGGUCAAUGGACGAGAGUCUGAACCAGCCAAGUAGCGUGCAGGAUGACGGCCCUAUGGGUUGUAAACUGCUUUUAUAAGGGAAUAAAGUGAGUCUCGUGAGACUUUUUGCAUGUACCUUAUGAAUAAGGACCGGCUAAUUCCGUGCCAGCAGCCGCGGUAAUACGGAAGGUCCGGGCGUUAUCCGGAUUUAUUGGGUUUAAAGGGAGCGUAGGCCGGAGAUUAAGCGUGUUGUGAAAUGUAGACGCUCAACGUCUGCACUGCAGCGCGAACUGGUUUCCUUGAGUACGCACAAAGUGGGCGGAAUUCGUGGUGUAGCGGUGAAAUGCUUAGAUAUCACGAAGAACUCCGAUUGCGAAGGCAGCUCACUGGAGCGCAACUGACGCUGAAGCUCGAAAGUGCGGGUAUCGAACAGGAUUAGAUACCCUGGUAGUCCGCACGGUAAACGAUGGAUGCCCGCUGUUGGUCUGAAUAGGUCAGCGGCCAAGCGAAAGCAUUAAGCAUCCCACCUGGGGAGUACGCCGGCAACGGUGAAACUCAAAGGAAUUGACG
Molecule: ribosomal RNA, 915 nt
Filed under: uncultured bacterium
Lineage: Bacteria
Description: bacterial SSU rRNA
Rfam family: Bacterial small subunit ribosomal RNA
Source: RNAcentral